Camponotus floridanus (Florida carpenter ant) is the source of this 120-nucleotide non-coding RNA. NCBI's taxonomy places the organism in Eukaryota, Metazoa, Arthropoda, Insecta, Hymenoptera, Formicidae. The record is from Rfam.
GUCAACGGUCAUACCACGUUGUAAAGCACCAGUAGUCGUCCGAUCACUGAAGUUAAGCAACGUUGGGCAUGGUUAGUACUUAGAUGGGUGACCGCUUGGGAAUACCAUGUACUGUUGGCA